AUCUUUUUAGUAUAAUUAAAUAUAUCUGACUUCCAAUCAGAAGAUCUUAACUUAAGAAAAGAUA
RNAcentral lists this transfer RNA (64 nucleotides) under Macroscytus japonensis. RNAcentral's name for it is "tRNA-Gly". It matches the Rfam family "tRNA". Rfam says of the family: Transfer RNA (tRNA) molecules are approximately 80 nucleotides in length. Lineage: Eukaryota; Metazoa; Arthropoda; Insecta; Hemiptera; Cydnidae. The record is from RNAcentral.